AUGGGGGGUACUUCUUUUUUUUUUCCCUUCCGGAAAGAAUGAAAUGCAUAGGGGACCAUCCUUUUGUUGCGGCAUGCUCUUCAGAUUUACGGAUUCGCAGGGGGCCUCAGGCCCUACUUAGUUGACUGACAAUGACAAAGGCUUGCGAAACUAAGUAGGGCCUUUUGAAUUGAAUCUUAAGUAGUCUAUCAGUGGUGCGAAGCGGCUUUGCCCCUUUUCAGUAGGGGAGCGAAAGGUUAGACCUUAGAAAGUCAGCGAACAGCGGUUCUUCUAUGUAGGUAUAGGUAUGGCGUUCCCUCUUGACUCUCCUAACGUCGAGCUAAGUGACUUCGUAACCUUUGCGUAGCGUAGUAGAAUGAAGGCUACGCACCGACGCUCUCUUAUCUAUUAGCCUAAGCGUCUUCGCUAACUCGCUCGCCUAUUAUACUACACCCUACUAUACAAUACAUUAGUAGGGUAGGCUAGGCUAACGCUUACUUCUACUAAUGUAUUGUAUAGUAGCGCCUUUUCCUUUUUGAAUAACCCCAUUAUCUUUCAUAAGUCAAGUAGGCGCUCCCUAACCGGUCGCCUUAGUAGCGUUGACAAAGAAGAACAGCCGGUUAAAAGACAGCGAAUCUUUUUAUUUAUAUCCUUAUAUAUUCAAAAUAAUAAUAAAUAUAUAUAUAUAGAAGAAGGCCAGCUUGACAAGCUACCCUUCUUCUUGAUCUGAGGUGCGAAGAUAAACAUCUCUUUUUUAUGACUUCCACUUAUCGAUCCCGGCCCGGAAAAGUGACCGACCAGGGCCCUAUUGAUGAAUGAAAGAAAGGGUUUAUAAGCCCUAGCCCUUGUAAGCCCACACCUGUGUAGAGUAGAUCGUUCAACACCUGCGGCACAAACCCAUUUUUGACCUAUUGGUCCUAGUAUCAUAGGCGACCGAACGGCCGCCCCCUAAUUACUAGACCAACCUGCUAUAAUAAUUCCAUAAACACCUAGCGAAGAUAUGGCAAACAAAUAAAGUAGCCCUAUGUUCAAAUCUGACAAUACCAUACCAUAAUCAAAAGGUACAACGGCCCAAGCGACCAGACUUAACAUAAAUGUAGCCACUGGAGCCAUUCUAAAAAGGAAGAAAUUAGCACUACUUGGUGAAAUAGGUUCUUUUAGAAUCAAUUUCAAACCAUCUGCUAGAGGUUGUAACAAUCCGAACAAUCCCACUACAUCAGGACCCUUUCGACGUUGCACAAAAGCCAUUACUUUACGUUCAGCUAGCACUAAAAAGGCUACUCCUAGUAGAAGUGGUAGAAUUAUUCCAAGUAUUUCAGCUGGAACAGCUAUGUACGUUUUCGAUUUUCUAUUCACUCAUGAUCUGGCCUGGUCGAGUCGACCCAAUCAUGAUAUUGAAGGAUGGGACCUUUUCUCGAAAAACCCUGGAUCCCGGGAAGAGUUGAAGAUGGUGCAACAUCGAAUCCUGUUACGUUACUUCGAAUGGAAUCUUAGCCCGCCUCAAAAGCUUUCUUUACUGCAUAAGGGCAUAAGCGAAGUCAAGAGAUUUCCUUCUAACUAGUGGCUGAGAAUAUACCUUCAUUCAACAGAUUUUUGAUUGCAUGCUCUGGGUCUGGAAUCUUUGCUCUUCUCUUUUGCAUUUCCGCUGCCUGCGUUCUUUCUUCGUGUCCGUUCGUAUCGCAAAGCGGGUCGACGCCAGCUAUAAUGGUUGAAAAGAGGGGGGCCAACCAAGACCCCCUAGCUUUGUUCGAUAAAGCAAACGAUUCGUUCCGACAACUUCGGACCAGAUUAACCCUUUGAAUUAGCCGAUCUUACAAAAUCGAUUGGGCGGGCUGGUUGGGAAGGGGCGGAGAAAAGAAUCGCUGAGAGAUAGAUUCUACUAUUUAGUCAGGACAAAUGAGUGGCUGUGCAGCAUGCUCCGGAGGAGAUUGACCUUUCCCCGAGUCAGUCCAGUCAGAAAGGGGAAGGCCCGCUGUCUAGACUGCAUUUCGGGAGUUUGAACACCAUCCCAUUUCAACCAAAAAUACAACCCUGUCAAAGGCUACGCACCUUCCUUCCUUAUGAGUGGAAAUCCAAUCCCGUUUUGUCUUUUUUGCAUAAAAACCAGCCAGCCGGUAAUAUAUAUUUAUAUUUAUAUAUAUAUUUGAAACCCGUUCUUCUAUAAAAUAAUUGCUUUACUAAGAUAGUAAAUUAUUAAUGAGAAGAAACAAGUAAAAGGCCCUAACCCAGAAUUCAAGUAUAGUACCUGCUCAUAGGUAGUGAACCACAGACAAGAAUCAAACACGAAGACAACAUGAUUUGGCCUACCAGCUAGGGGUGGCCACCAGGCCAGAACUGGUGGUUCAGGUUCAAGGUUCUGAGGGACUGAAACUAGACUUGUCCCCCUCAGUUCUUGUUCAAUUCCAGUUUUCUUCAAAUCCAAUGAAUAAAUUUUUUUAUUUUUUUUAAAAAAAAUCCUAUUUUGGCUUGGAACUGGACCAGACUGACCAAUUCAAGAUUGGUUUUGGUCAAUCCAGUUUUGACUGAUCCAGUUCCCAUCCUAAACUGGCCCAUGGCUGGGUCUACUAUAAGCAACAUACAAAAUCAUCAAUAUAGGAAUAAAAUUCAAGGAUGGCAGCAUCAGAAACCAGCUAUCCUGGUCCAUUGCUCCCACAUAAUAAAAUACAAGAGAGUGAAAUCCUAGAAAAUAUGGUGGAUCAAGAAACAAAGCAACAACAAAAGCAAGGUAUAAACCACAAGCUCAAUGAGCUUAGAAGCAUUCCCAAUGCAAGAGCCUGACUAACAAAAAUUUACAGAACACAACAUAAAAAAUAAUAGUAGUAUAGAAAUAUUUAAUAUCAACUAUGGUACGGAAAAAAGCAUGAGAUAAUUACAUCCAACUGAGUACAGUGGGAAACUUACAAAAUCUCCGGACAUUCGCUGAAAUAUACACUUGAAUCCUUACUAGGAUCUCCCUUUUCUAUUAUAUUUUUUUAUUUUUUUUUUAAAAAGUAAACUUUGCUUUGUAAAUCUCCACAGUUGAUAAAAUACUAAGGCUCCUAUCCUAUGGUCAAAAAAGCAAAGUGUAAAUAAAGAACAUGAAAAACAAAGUUACUACAGAACCCACAUUAACCCUUUAAUUACAAUUUAAUCCCUCACUUUUAAAUGAAAAGACCAUUUGAUCCUCGAGCUUCAUAUAUUAUACACUUAGUUUGGACUUGAGUGUAUAAUAUAUGAAAACUCAAGGAUUAAAAGAUUAUUUUAUGUCAAAAUUCAGGGACUAAAAAUCAUUCUAUUUAAAAAUGUAGACUCUGAAGCCCAUGAAAUUUUAAAAUGGAAAUUUAAGAUCAAGGAAUUUAAAAAGUUAAGAUCAUCUAUUUUAUUUGGACAAAAGCAAAGAUCCAAGUAUACAUUUUGCAAAAUUUCAUGAGGUUUUUACUGUUACAAAUUCAUAAAAUGCUUCUGCAAUUUCAGAAAUGGUUGAAGAAUCCAUGUAUGGGGUGAAGACUGGUUGAUGGUGAGACUGCACACAUAACAAAUAUCUAUUUCAAUUAAGUUCUUUUGGUAUUCUUCAAAUGUCUCUAACUUGAAGAAAAAAAAAAUGCGAGUUCAAGCAUUUCUCUCCCCUGUACUAAAAUUUAGUUUGAAUUUAAAAUUCUUAUUUUUCUUGAAAUUAUAAUACAUAUUGUAUUUUUUACCCUUUUUAAAAAGUACAAGAAUGGCACUUAAUGCAAGCAUAGUUUGAAUUGUGUCCCUGGCAACCCAUCUUUAAAGCAACAACAAAGAAAAAGCAAUAGAAAAGAGCUGUUAUGCAUCUACAGACUAAAUGUAAUCACUAGAAAAGCAAAAAUGCAUGCAUUUCCUGAGAAGCAUAAAAAUGCUUUGUAUUUAAUUCCAAUGCCUUUGGAAAAUUGUAUUUCAAUAAGCAAAAUGCUAACCAGAACAGCAUAACCGACUAAAAUACAAACAUGCAAAGAAAGACUUCUCAACUUCACCACCCCAAAAUAUAAAGCAAUCUUCAAGAACUGGGAGUUUGCAGUAACAGUAAAUUUAAUGCAGACAUCUGAACCAAGCUUAAAACUGCAGAGAGAAUGCCUUCAAAGUUCAAACAAUUGUGUGAGAAGUUAAUUAUUAAUAUUGAAGAAAAAAAUCAGUUCUGCUUACUAGAGUGAAACAAAUCAUUGCAUUACUUGAAGCCUGUUAAUUAACCAAUAAUGCUAUAAACUCAAAAAAGGUCACUGAACUACUAGCAUGUUCCCUACUAGAACUAAGCAACCGAGAAACAGUUUCUACAGUUCAAGCACCUCAAAAUGCAAGAAGAAAUUACUUGCCAGAUUUAAGGAAAACCUAAUUUGCUAACUAGGCAGAAAGAUGGAAAACUGAUUUAUCAUCCGAACUUGUUCUACAUAUCUCAAAAGCACAAACCACAGAACAGAUUCAUUAAACUUGAUAAAGCUAAAACAGUAUCUACCAUGAUUAUUUUUAAGGAAGUACCCAUGUCAGAUGGGAACUCCACAGCAUGUCAGGAUAAUUAGAUCAAUAUCAGUAACCAAUUUAACUGCAUAAACGGAUAAUAGCAUGAACAUAUUCUUUUAAAAUGGAUGGAAAAAACAGCAAUGCACUAUAGUAUUACACAUAAAACCCAAUAUUCAAGUGCAUCAAUCAUUAACAAAAAUACAUUCUUUUCCAAAAUCACAUAUUAUAACUAAGUUACCGAGAAAGAAAAAUUAUGCAGGUCAUUUGAUUCACAAAAUAUUCCCAAUCAAUCACAGAAUCAAAACAAUUAACGAGGCAAAGAUUGAACAAAAAUAAAUACCAUAAACAAACAAGGGAUUCAAAAUGCCCGUUCUAAAUAUAAAAAUAAGGAGAAAUCAUUAAAAAAUAUGAUCUAGAUUUAGAGAAUUCUGAAACGAGAGAGAGAGAGAGGCAGUAGGUUCACCAGAGAGAUUGAGAGGGAAAUUUCGACAGAAAUCUUGGUGGUAAGCAAACGCCGAUCUACGGAGGAGGAAGGUGAAGAUUUGGAUUUAUAUUUGCU
This 4993-nucleotide unclassified non-coding RNA is filed under the name Hevea brasiliensis (rubber tree). Lineage: Eukaryota; Viridiplantae; Streptophyta; Magnoliopsida; Malpighiales; Euphorbiaceae. The record is from RNAcentral.